GCUCAGGACGAACGCUGGCGGCGUGCUUAACACAUGCAAGUCGAACGGUAAGGCCCCUUCGGGGGUACACGAGUGGCGAACGGGUGAGUAACACGUGGGUAAUCUGCCCUGCACUUCGGGAUAAGCCUGGGAAACCGGGUCUAAUACCGGAUAUGAGCUCUCACCGCAUGGUGGGGGUUGGAAAGUUUUUCGGUGCAGGAUGAGUCCGCGGCCUAUCAGCUUGUUGGUGGGGUAAUGGCCUACCAAGGCGACGACGGGUAGCCGGCCUGAGAGGGUGAUCGGCCACACUGGGACUGAGACACGGCCCAGACUCCUACGGGAGGCAGCAGUGGGGAAUAUUGCACAAUGGGCGGAAGCCUGAUGCAGCGACGCCGCGUGGGGGAUGACGGUCUUCGGAUUGUAAACUCCUUUCAGUAGGGACGAAGCGAGAGUGACGGUACCUGCAGAAGAAGCACCGGCCAACUACGUGCCAGCAGCCGCGGUAAUACGUAGGGUGCAAGCGUUGUCCGGAAUUACUGGGCGUAAAGAGCUCGUAGGCGGUUUGUCACGUCGUCUGUGAAAUCCUCCAGCUCAACUGGGGGCGUGCAGGCGAUACGGGCAGACUUGAGUACUACAGGGGAGACUGGAAUUCCUGGUGUAGCGGUGAAAUGCGCAGAUAUCAGGAGGAACACCGGUGGCGAAGGCGGGUCUCUGGGUAGUAACUGACGCUGAG
RNAcentral lists this ribosomal RNA (712 nucleotides) under Dietzia sp. VF38-3. RNAcentral's name for it is "bacterial SSU rRNA". It matches the Rfam family "Bacterial small subunit ribosomal RNA", at positions 22 to 750 of the family's 1533-position model. Lineage: Bacteria; Bacillati; Actinomycetota; Actinomycetes; Mycobacteriales; Dietziaceae. The record is from RNAcentral.